This 272-nucleotide long non-coding RNA is filed under the name Elaeis guineensis (African oil palm). RNAcentral's name for it is "long non-coding RNA (EGUI_LNC031339)". The record is from RNAcentral. Lineage: Eukaryota; Viridiplantae; Streptophyta; Magnoliopsida; Arecales; Arecaceae.
AUCCACUUCAUGUCCUUCUAUUCUUGAUUUUGAGUUUGUGAAUGUUCUUUUCUAAUCAAAACCUUGUAAGCAAAUAAAUUGUUUCAUUCUUUAAUAAGCCUUGGCAUUUCAACCCCAAAAUUAAUCAUUUACCUAAUCAUCUUUCAAGAAGUUUUAUUCUUUUAGAUGAACUUUUUAGUAUAUUUUUUUUUAAACUUCUUGCUAGUGAAACUUUGACUCUUUUGCCUCCCCCAAAGUCAUAAUUUAUUUUUUCUUUUUAUCCUAAAUAGUAU